RNAcentral lists this ribosomal RNA (496 nucleotides) under uncultured bacterium. Its description in RNAcentral is "partial 16S ribosomal RNA". It matches the Rfam family "Bacterial small subunit ribosomal RNA", at positions 28 to 506 of the family's 1533-position model. The record is from RNAcentral.
GACGAACGCUGGCGGCGUGCCUAAUACAUGCAAGUAGAACGCUGAAGAGAGGAGCUUGCUCUUCUUGGAUGAGUUGCGAACGGGUGAGUAACGCGUAGGUAACCUGCCUUGUAGCGGGGGAUAACUAUUGGAAACGAUAGCUAAUACCGCAUAACAAUGGAUGACACAUGUCAUUUAUUUGAAAGGGGCAAUUGCUCCACUACAAGAUGGACCUGCGUUGUAUUAGCUAGUAGGUGAGGUAAUGGCUCACCUAGGCGACGAUACAUAGCCGACCUGAGAGGGUGAUCGGCCACACUGGGACUGAGACACGGCCCAGACUCCUACGGGAGGCAGCAGUAGGGAAUCUUCGGCAAUGGGGGCAACCCUGACCGAGCAACGCCGCGUGAGUGAAGAAGGUUUUCGGAUCGUAAAGCUCUGUUGUAAGUCAAGAACGGGUGUGAGAGUGGAAAGUUCACACUGUGACGGUAGCUUACCAGAAAGGGACGGCUAUCUACGU